RNAcentral lists this ribosomal RNA (500 nucleotides) under uncultured Ambispora. RNAcentral's name for it is "SSU rRNA". It matches the Rfam family "Eukaryotic small subunit ribosomal RNA", at positions 591 to 1092 of the family's 1831-position model. The record is from RNAcentral. Lineage: Eukaryota; Fungi; Glomeromycota; Glomeromycetes; Archaeosporales; Ambisporaceae.
CCAAUAGCGUAUAUUAAAGUUGUUGCAGUUAAAAAGCUCGUAGUUGAAUUUUGGGUCUGGCCGGGCGGUCCGCCCUCUGGGUGAGCACUGUUCCGACGCCGGGCCUAUCCUUCUGGUGAGUCGGCAUGUCCUUUAUUGGGUGUGUUGGGGAACCAGGACCAUUACCUUGAAAAAAUUAGAGUGUUCAAAGCAGGCGUAUGCUCGAAUACAUUAGCAUGGAAUAAUGAAAUAGGACGCGUGGUGCUAUUUUGUUGGUUUCUAGAACCGCCGUAAUGAUUAAUAGGGAUAGUUGGGGGCAUUAGUAUUCAAUUGUCAGAGGUGAAAUUCUUGGAUUUAUUGAAGACUAACUUCUGCGAAAGCAUUUGCCAAGGAUGUUUUCAUUAAUCAAGAACGAAAGUUAGGGGAUCGAAGACGAUCAGAUACCGUCGUAGUCUUAACCAUAAACUAUGCCGACUAGGAAUCGGGCGAUGUUAUUCUCAUGACUCGCCCGGCGCCUUAUG